UAAUUUUCAAGGUAGUAGUUGGACAAAGAAAAAAAUGAAGAAGGUUUGCGACUUUUUCUUUUAUGGUGUCUUUGAGUGUUUAUUAUAUAUAUUAAGCAUUUCAGGCCAUUUAUCUUAUGUGUUCAUAUUUUGUUAGUGGUUUCAACUCAUGUGCUGUGACAGAAUUUGCUAUUCAGUUAUUUUAGACAACAUCGCAUCUUCAUCUUCUCUCUCUUUUACUUUUGCAUGAGAUUGAGAGUUCUCACAAGGCAAAUAGGUUCGCCAUUCAACUUGCAUCUAGAGAGGACGGGAUAAGAUUCGCCUUGUUUCAACUACUCGAGGUUUGAUAGGGGUAUGAAUCACCUUUGGCAAGCCUUUCCUCGUUGACGAGGUAGGUUCAAAGCCUCACAUUAUUAACUUCACCGAGGCGCCUUAGUGUUCACAAAAUUUUGUUUGGCUAUCCGAUGACGUGGCCAAUAAAUGACCCGUGGCUUUUGAGUUUAAUAUGGCCCACAUGUGGCGUCCACAUUAGAUGUAGUAAUAAUGGAUUUUUCCACUUUGUCAGAAGAAAUUUAACAGAUGUAGUGACAUAAUUUAAGGUCACAACAAAUGAUUUGAUGAAAAAUGUAACUGUAUUUAAAUUAGUUCAAUGAUAAAAUAUCGUAUGACAUUAUGUCCAAAUAUACAUAAUUCG
Molecule: long non-coding RNA, 673 nt
Filed under: Olea europaea (common olive)
Lineage: Eukaryota; Viridiplantae; Streptophyta; Magnoliopsida; Lamiales; Oleaceae
Description: long non-coding RNA (OEUR_LNC000135)
Source: RNAcentral